AUGAACGCUGGCGGCGUGCCUCAUACAUGCCAGUCGAGCGCACAGAUGAGGAGCUUGCUCCUCUGACGUUAGCGGCGGACGGGUGAGUAACACGUGGAUAACCUACCUAUAAGACUGGGAUAACUUCGGGAAACCGGAGCUAAUACCGGAUAAUAUAUUGAACCGCAUGGUUCAAUAGUGAAAGACGGUUUUGCUGUCACUUAUAGAUGGAUCCGCGCCGCAUUAGCUAGUUGGUAAGGUAACGGCUUACCAAGGCAACGAUGCGUAGCCGACCUGGGAGGGUGAUCGGCCACACUGGAACUGAGACACGGUCCAGACUCCUACGGGAGGCAGCAGUAGGGAAUCUUCCGCAAUGGGCGAAAGCCUGACGGAGCAACGCCGCGUGAGUGAUGAAGGUCUUCGGAUCGUAAAACUCUGUUAUUAGGGAAGAACAAAUGUGUAAGUAACUAUGCACGUCUUGACGGUACCUAAUCAGAAAGCCACGGCUAACUACGUG
RNAcentral lists this ribosomal RNA (496 nucleotides) under uncultured bacterium. RNAcentral describes it as "partial 16S ribosomal RNA". It matches the Rfam family "Bacterial small subunit ribosomal RNA", at positions 29 to 507 of the family's 1533-position model. The record is from RNAcentral.